GGAAAGGGCAGGCGAUUUGCAGAUGGCUUCACAGGUGAACACUGUGGAUCCAGGAUAAGGCAGGAAGCUGAGCACAUGGAUUUAGAAUCCUAGAAAAUUCAAACUGGAAAGGAUUUAAGGAUCUGAUGGUUUUUAUAAAUGGGAGUUUCCCUACACAAGCUCUCUUGCCUGCCGCCGUCUAAAACGGACUUUGCCCCUCCUCCACCUUCCACCGUGAUUGUGAGGCCUCCCCAGCCACGUGGAACUUUUAGAACCAAUUCUGAACACAAGAACCAGACAGACACAGAUCAAAACACCAGCUUAAUUGGCGAGACUAAUUGAAGAAUGUGGCACAGAUGUGUGGACUCCGGUGGCUUUCUAAAUUUUCAUCCUAGAAAUAAACUCACCUAGAUGAAAGUGCAAAAUGAUCUGCAAUAUUGAAGCACAGUGCAUCAUUCUGAAUUAACGCUAUUUAAGUCAACGGUGAAAAACACAAACAAUUGUAAACCCCUUUUGCCAUUGCAACAUUCUACAAGAGCUGCUGCUGCUGCUGCUGCUGCUGCUGCUGCUGCUGCUGAAUCGUGGUUCAACAGUAAAGUGAGAACUAUUCAAGGUCAGAAUUUGAGUAAGGCAGGGAGGGAAGGCUGGGAAGUAAGAAGAGAAUUACAUUUUUGAGGGCCCUUAUGUUUUUAACACUAUUCGAUUCUCAAAAUGCCCAAACUUAAAGCAUGUCUGUGGUUCCUUAAAAUGUAUAUGGUCUAUUAAAAACUGUGGCAAGUUUUCAGCAAA
Molecule: non-coding RNA, 768 nt
Organism: Macaca mulatta (Rhesus monkey)
Lineage: Eukaryota; Metazoa; Chordata; Mammalia; Primates; Cercopithecidae
Source: RefSeq, a predicted model, not a curated record